GCCGAAGUGGCUCAGUGGUAGAGCAAGGCUUUCGUAAAGCCUGGGUCGUGGGUUCGAUUCCCACCUUCGGCU
RNAcentral lists this transfer RNA (72 nucleotides) under Candidatus Daviesbacteria bacterium RIFCSPHIGHO2_02_FULL_39_8. Its description in RNAcentral is "tRNA-Thr". It matches the Rfam family "tRNA". From Rfam's summary of the family: Transfer RNA (tRNA) molecules are approximately 80 nucleotides in length. Their secondary structure includes four short double-helical elements and three loops (D, anti-codon, and T loops). Further hydrogen bonds mediate the characteristic L-shaped molecular structure. tRNAs have two regions of fundamental functional importance: the anti-codon, which is responsible for specific mRNA codon recognition, and the 3' end, to which the tRNAs corresponding amino acid is attached (by aminoacyl-tRNA synthetases). tRNAs cope with the degeneracy of the genetic code in two manners: having more than one tRNA (with a specific anti-codon) for a particular amino acid; and 'wobble' base-pairing, i.e. permitting non-standard base-pairing at the 3rd anti-codon position. Lineage: Bacteria; Candidatus Daviesiibacteriota. The record is from RNAcentral. RNAcentral also lists the same sequence under 1 other name.